This 93-nucleotide transfer RNA is filed under the name Glutamicibacter creatinolyticus. Its description in RNAcentral is "tRNA-Sec". The record is from RNAcentral. Lineage: Bacteria; Bacillati; Actinomycetota; Actinomycetes; Micrococcales; Micrococcaceae.
UGGCCCCAUAGCGGGAGACCGCGCCGUAGGUGGGCUUCACCCCCACGGUGCCGGUGACCGCGCCGGGCUGGCGGAUCGAACCGCCGGUGUCGG